RNAcentral lists this ribosomal RNA (559 nucleotides) under Classicula fluitans. RNAcentral describes it as "LSU rRNA". It matches the Rfam family "Eukaryotic large subunit ribosomal RNA", at positions 43 to 626 of the family's 3401-position model. Lineage: Eukaryota; Fungi; Basidiomycota; Classiculomycetes; Classiculales; Classiculaceae. The record is from RNAcentral.
UCAAUAAGCGGAGGAAAAGAAACUAACAAGGACUCCCCCAGUAACGGCGAGUGAAGAGGGAAGAGCUCAAAUUUGUAAUCUGGCUGUUAUGCAGUCCGAGUUGUAAUCUGUAGAAGUGUUUUCCGUGCCGGACCGUGUGUAUGUCUGUUGGAAUACGGCGUCAUAGAGGGUGAGAACCCCGUGUGCCACGCGGAUCCCGGUGCUCUGUGAUACACUUUCGAAGAGUCGAGUUGUUUGGGAAUGCAGCUCAAAGUGGGUGGUAAAUUCCAUCUAAGGCUAAAUAUUGGCGAGAGACCGAUAGCGAACCAGUACCGUGAGGGAAAGAUGAAAAGCACUUUGGAAAGAGAGUUAACAGUCCUGAAAUUGUUGAAAGGGAAACGCUUGAAGUCAGACGUGCGCUGUGGGAUUCAGCCUUCCUUCGGGUUGGUGUAUUUUCCAUGGUGCAGGCCAACAUCGAUUUCCGGGGGCGGAUAAGGACUUUGGGAACGUAGCAGCCUCGGUUGUGUUUAGCCCUCUGUUUGAUACGUCCCUGGGGAUCGAGGAACGCUCUAUAGGAUGU